Molecule: ribosomal RNA, 253 nt
Filed under: uncultured bacterium
Lineage: Bacteria
Description: partial 16S ribosomal RNA
Rfam family: Bacterial small subunit ribosomal RNA
Source: RNAcentral
UACGUAGGGUGCAAGCGUUGUCCGGAAUUAUUGGGCGUAAAGGGCUCGUAGGCGGUCCAUCGCGUCGGGAGUGAAAAGCUGGGGCUUAACCCCAGUCCUGCUUCCGAUACGGGUGGACUAGAGGUAGGUAGGGGGGAUCGGAAUUCCUGGUGUAGCGGUGAAAUGCGCAGAUAUCAGGAGGAACACCGGUGGCGAAGGCGGAUCUCUGGGCCUUACCUGACGCUGAGGAGCGAAAGCAUGGGGAGCAAACAGG